CAAGUCGCACGAGAAAGGGGGCAACCCUGAGUAAAGUGGCGUACGGGUGAGUAACACGUGGAUCAUCUACCUCUUAGUGGGGAAUAACCCUGGGAAACCGGGGCUAAUACCGCAUAAGCUCGAGAGAGGAAAGCAGCAAUGCGCUGAGAGAGGAGUCCGCGGCCGAUUAGCUAGUUGGCAGGGUAAAAGCCUACCAAGGCAUAGAUCGGUAGCCGGCCUGAGGGGGCACACGGCCACACUGGCACUGAAACACGGGCCAGACUCCUACGGGAGGCAGCAGUGGGGAAUCUUGCACAAUGGGGGCAACCCUGAUGCAGCGACGCCGCGUGAGCGAUGAAGCCCUUCGGGGUGUAAAGCUCUUUCGGCAGGGAAGAUAAUGACGGUACCUGCAGAAGCAGCUGCGGCUAACUACGUGCCAGCAGCCGCGGUAAUACGUAGGCAGCGAGCGUUGUUCGGAGUUACUGGGCGUAAAGGGUGUGUAGGCGGUUGUUUAAGUUUGGUGUGAAAUCUCCCGGCUCAACUGGGAGGGUGCGCCNAAUACUGAAUGACUUCGAGUGCGGGAGAGGAAAGUGGAAUUCCUGGUGUAGCGGUGAAAUGCGUAGAUAUCAGGAGGAACACCGGUGGUGUAGACGGCUUUCUGGACCGUAACUGACGCUGAGACACGAAAGCGUGGGUAGCAAACAGGAUUAGAUACCCUGGUAGUCCACGCCCUAAACGAUGCAUAUUUGGUGUGGGCAGUUCAUUCUGUCCGUGCCGGAGCUAACGCGUUAAAUUGCCGCCUGGGGAGUACAGUCGCAAGGCUGAAACUCAAAGGAUUGACGGGGGCCCGCACA
RNAcentral lists this ribosomal RNA (833 nucleotides) under uncultured Bacillota bacterium. RNAcentral's name for it is "bacterial SSU rRNA". It matches the Rfam family "Bacterial small subunit ribosomal RNA", at positions 58 to 927 of the family's 1533-position model. Lineage: Bacteria; Bacillati; Bacillota. The record is from RNAcentral.